UCAAACCGGCGUGAGCCAGGUUGGUUUCUAUCCUUAAUUAGUUAAAAUAUUUUAGUACGAAAGGAUUAAAUAUUUAAAAUAAUUUUUUUUAAAAGAAUAAAAUUAAU
Molecule: ribosomal RNA, 107 nt
Filed under: Paramormia ustulata
Lineage: Eukaryota; Metazoa; Arthropoda; Insecta; Diptera; Psychodidae
Description: partial 16S ribosomal RNA
Source: RNAcentral